CCCUUAGAUGAUUUGGGCUGCACGCGCGCUACACUGACCCUAACAAUGAACAACUGUCUGGCCUGAGAUGGCUGGGUAGCCUUUUCAACCCAUGUCAUGAUUGGGCUAGAUUUUUGUAAGUCUUGGUCUCUAACGAGGAAUCCCUAGUAUGCGUGAAUCAUCAAUCCAUGCAGAUUAUGUCCCUGCCCUUUGUACACACCGCCCGUCGCUCCUACUGAUUGGGCGAUCCGGUGAGCUGUUCGGCCAUAGCAAUGUUUCUUGAGCAGGGCAAUGAAUGUUUCGCAAACCUUGCCACUUAGAGGAAGGAGAAGUCGUAACA
This 319-nucleotide ribosomal RNA is filed under the name uncultured eukaryote. RNAcentral's name for it is "partial 18S ribosomal RNA". It matches the Rfam family "Eukaryotic small subunit ribosomal RNA", at positions 1470 to 1796 of the family's 1831-position model. The record is from RNAcentral.